This 23-nucleotide small nuclear RNA is filed under the name Arabidopsis thaliana (thale cress). Its description in RNAcentral is "snRNA_05739". Lineage: Eukaryota; Viridiplantae; Streptophyta; Magnoliopsida; Brassicales; Brassicaceae. The record is from RNAcentral.
GAAAAGGACUUUGAAAAGAGAGU